CCUACGGGUGGCUGCAGUGGGGAAUAUUGCACAAUGGGCGCAAGCCUGAUGCAGCCAUGCCGCGUGUGUGAAGAAGGCCUUCGGGUUGUAAAGCACUUUCAGCGGGGAGGAAGGCGUUAAGGUUAAUAACCUUGUCGAUUGACGUUACCCGCAGAAGAAGCACCGGCUAACUCCGUGCCAGCGGCCGCGGUAAUACGGAGGGUGCAAGCGUUAAUCGGAAUUACUGGGCGUAAAGCGCACGCAGGCGGUCUGUCAAGUCGGAUGUGAAAUCCCCGGGCUCAACCUGGGAACUGCAUUCGAAACUGGCAGGCUAGAGUCUUGUAGAGGGGGGUAGAAUUCCAGGUGUAGCGGUGAAAUGCGUAGAGAUCUGGAGGAAUACCGGUGGCGAAGGCGGCCCCCUGGACAAAGACUGACGCUCAGGUGCGAAAGCGUAGGGAGCAAACAGGAUUAGAUACCCGGGUAGUC
This 465-nucleotide ribosomal RNA is filed under the name uncultured Klebsiella sp. RNAcentral's name for it is "bacterial SSU rRNA". It matches the Rfam family "Bacterial small subunit ribosomal RNA", at positions 338 to 795 of the family's 1533-position model. The record is from RNAcentral. Lineage: Bacteria; Pseudomonadati; Pseudomonadota; Gammaproteobacteria; Enterobacterales; Enterobacteriaceae.